RNAcentral lists this ribosomal RNA (555 nucleotides) under Farlowella vittata. Its description in RNAcentral is "partial 16S ribosomal RNA". It matches the Rfam family "Bacterial large subunit ribosomal RNA", at positions 1808 to 2574 of the family's 2925-position model. The record is from RNAcentral. Lineage: Eukaryota; Metazoa; Chordata; Actinopteri; Siluriformes; Loricariidae.
CAAAAACAUCGCCUCCCGCAAAAAUCAACGUAUAGGAGGUCUUGCCUGCCCAGUGACUGCAAGUUAAACGGCCGCGGUAUUUUGACCGUGCAAAGGUAGCGCAAUCACUUGUCUUUUAAAUGAAGACCUGUAUGAAUGGUGAAACGAGGGCUUAACUGUCUCCCUCCCCCAGUCAAUGAAAUUGAUCUACCCGUGCAGAAGCGGGUCUAAUACUACAAGACGAGAAGACCCUUUGGAGCUUAAGGUACAAGACCAACUAUGUUAAAAGUCCAAAAUAAGCCUAAACCAAAUAGCCCUGGUCCCUACCUUCGGUUGGGGCGACCACGGGAGAAAACGAAGCUCCCACGCAGAUUGGGGAAACCCCCUAAAACCAAGAGAAACAUCUCUAAGACGCAGAAUAUCUGACCAUAUUGAUCCGGCCACACGCCGACCAACGAACCAAGUUACCCUAGGGAUAACAGCGCAAUCCCCUUCCAGAGUCCAUAUCGACAAGGGGGUUUACGACCUCGAUGUUGGAUCAGGACAUCCUAAUGGUGCAGCCGCUAUUAAGGGUUC